AGCUGCAGUCGAGGAUCUUUCGCAAUGGGCGAAAGCCUGACGAAGCGACGCUGUGUGAAUGAUGAAGGCCUUCGGGUCGUAAAGUUCUUUCGCACGUGAACAAGAGCGAGGAGUGAAUAACUCUUCAAUUUGAGGGUAACGUGUAAAGAAGCACCGGCUAACUCC
Molecule: ribosomal RNA, 165 nt
Filed under: uncultured Chlamydiales bacterium
Lineage: Bacteria; Pseudomonadati; Chlamydiota; Chlamydiia; Chlamydiales
Description: partial 16S ribosomal RNA
Rfam family: Bacterial small subunit ribosomal RNA
Source: RNAcentral